RNAcentral lists this unclassified non-coding RNA (360 nucleotides) under uncultured fungus. Its description in RNAcentral is "partial contains 5.8S ribosomal RNA and internal transcribed spacer 2". The stretch from base 1 to 133 matches the Rfam family "5.8S ribosomal RNA", at positions 22 to 154 of the family's 154-position model. Lineage: Eukaryota; Fungi. The record is from RNAcentral.
UGGCUCUCGCAUCGAUGAAGAACGCAGCGAAAUGCGAUAAGUAAUGUGAAUUGCAGAAUUCAGUGAAUCAUCGAAUCUUUGAACGCACCUUGCACCCUUUGGUAUUCCGAAGGGUAUGCUCGUUUGAGUGUCAUUGUACUCUCACACUUGAAAAUUAUUUCAAGCGGUGGACUUGGACGCUGCUACUUUACUGUGGCUCGUCUUAAAUGCAGUAGUGCACCUUGUAGUGGACGUAUACGGCGUGAUAAGUAUCUUCGUCGGUUUCCUUCGGGAGCGUCGACUGUCAGGCUCUGUGCUUACAACCGCCCUCGGGCAAUCAUUUGACAACUUGACCUCAAAUCGAGUAGGACUACCCGCUGA